Molecule: ribosomal RNA, 774 nt
Filed under: uncultured Neocallimastigales
Lineage: Eukaryota; Fungi; Neocallimastigomycota; Neocallimastigomycetes; Neocallimastigales
Description: partial large subunit ribosomal RNA
Rfam family: Eukaryotic large subunit ribosomal RNA
Source: RNAcentral
UCAGACGAUGCGUCAUGCAUAUCAAUAAGCGGAGGAAAAGAAACUAACAAGGAUUUCCCUAGUAACGGCGAGUGAAGCGGGAAGAGCUCAAAUUUGAAAUCUUAAAGGGUUUCCCUUUACGAAUUGUAGUUUAAAGAAGUGUUUUCUGUUGAGGUUUUGGUAAAAGUUCUUUGGAAUAGGACAUCAUAGAGGGUGAGAAUCCCGUAUUUGACCUUUACUUUCAACUUUGUGAUACACUUUCAAAGAGUCGGAUUGUUUGGGAAUGCAGUCCAAAAUGGGUGGUAAAUUUCAUCUAAAGCUAAAUAUUGGCGAGAGACCGAUAGCGAACAAGUACCGUGAGGGAAAGAUGAAAAGAACUUUGAGAAGAGAGUUAAACAGUACGUGAAAUUGUCAAAAGGGAAGCGUUUGACACCAGUGUUGUUUUUCUGAAAAUCAAUUAAAGAACUGUUUAUGCUAAGCUGUUUAGACUUUAUCAGCUAUCUGUUUAGUUUUGAGCUUUUCUUUAAUGCACUUUUCAGUUAACAAGUCAACAUCAAUUUCUUUUGCUGUAAAAAAGCUUGAGGAAGGUGGCUUGAGAUUCGUCUUAAGUGUUUAUAGCCUCUUGCCUAUGCAGUCGGAGAGAUUGAGGUCUGCAGCGUAGAUCCUUCGGGGCUAAAUGCAUUUGUGCUAAGUUAUAGCAUUUUAUAGACAACUUGUUGACUAUGAUUUGUCUUGUAGCUUACUCGCUUAUGUUAUUUUACCUACGCUUAGGAUGUUGAAUCUGUGCGAGACUAC